CGUGUAGGCGGCUCAAUAAGUCUGGUGUGAAACCUUGGGGCUUAACCCCAAGCCUGCACUGGAUACUGCUGAGCUUGAGUCCGGGAGGGGAGAGCGGAAUUCCUAGUGUAGCGGUGAAAUGCGCAGAUAUUAGGAAGAACACCGGUGGCGAAGGCGGCUCUCUGGAACGGUACUGACGCUGAGACGCGAAAGCGUGGGGAGCGAACA
This 207-nucleotide ribosomal RNA is filed under the name uncultured bacterium. RNAcentral describes it as "partial 16S ribosomal RNA". It matches the Rfam family "Bacterial small subunit ribosomal RNA", at positions 568 to 774 of the family's 1533-position model. The record is from RNAcentral.